GGGGCCGUAGUCUAGCCUGGCUAGGAUAUGCAAGCACUGCACCUAAAGCUCGGCUUGGGUAGCCACCGCAGGCUACAGCAAAAAGGCCUGUGGGCUUGGGAGCCCGAGUGAUCCCGGGUUCAAAUCCCGGCGGCCCCACCA
RNAcentral lists this transfer RNA (141 nucleotides) under Vulcanisaeta souniana JCM 11219. RNAcentral's name for it is "tRNA-Ser". The record is from RNAcentral. Lineage: Archaea; Thermoproteati; Thermoproteota; Thermoprotei; Thermoproteales; Thermoproteaceae.